This 999-nucleotide ribosomal RNA is filed under the name Mycobacterium tuberculosis variant bovis. RNAcentral's name for it is "bacterial SSU rRNA". It matches the Rfam family "Bacterial small subunit ribosomal RNA", at positions 375 to 1378 of the family's 1533-position model. Lineage: Bacteria; Bacillati; Actinomycetota; Actinomycetes; Mycobacteriales; Mycobacteriaceae. The record is from RNAcentral.
GCGCAAGCCUGAUGCAGCGACGCCGCGUGGGGGAUGACGGCCUUCGGGUUGUAAACCUCUUUCACCAUCGACGAAGGUCCGGGUUCUCUCGAUUGACGGUAGGUGGAGAAGAAGCACCGGCCAACUACGUGCCAGCAGCCGCGGUAAUACGUAGGGUGCGAGCGUUGUCCGGAAUACUGGGCGUAAAGAGCUCGUAGGUGGUUUGUCGCGUUGUUCGUGAAAUCUCACGGCUUAACUGUGAGCGUGCGGGCGAUACGGGCAGACUAGAGUACUGCAGGGGAGACUGGAAUUCCUGGUGUAGCGGUGGAAUGCGCAGAUAUCAGGAGGAACACCGGUGGCGAAGGCGGGUCUCUGGGCAGUACUGACGCUGAGGAGCGAAGAGCGUGGGGAGCGAACAGGAUUAGAUACCCUGGUAGUCCACGCCGUAAACGGUGGUAACUAGGUGUGGGUUUCCUUCCUUGGGAUCCGUGCCGUAGCUAACGCAUUUAAGUACCCCGCCUGGGGAGUACGGCCGCAAGGCUAAACUCAAAGGAAUUGACGGGGGCCCGCACAAGCGGCGGAGCAUGUGGAUUAAUUCGAUGCAACGCGAAGAACCUUACCUGGGUUUGACAUGCACAGGACGCGUCUAGAGAUAGGCGUUCCCUUGUGGCCUGUGUGCAGGUGGUGCAUGGCUGUCGUCAGCUCGUGUCGUGAGAUGUUGGGUUAAGUCCGCAACGAGCGCAACCCUUGUCUCAUGUUGCCAGCACGUAAUGGUGGGACUCGUGAGACGACUGCCGGGGUCAACUCGGAGGAAGGUGGGGAUGACGUCAAGUCAUCAUGCCCCUUAUGUCCAGGGCUUCACACAUGCUACAAUGGCCGGUACAAGGGCUGCGAUGCCGCGAGGUUAAGCGAAUCCUUAAAAGCCGGUCUCAGUUCGGAUCGGGGUCUGCAACUCGACCCGUGAAGUCGGAGUCGCUAGUAAUCGCAGAUCAGCAACGCUGCGGUGAAUACGUUCCCGGC